CCUACGGGAGGCAGCAGUGAGGAAUAUUGGUCAAUGGACGCAAGUCUGAACCAGCCAUGCCGCGUGCAGGAAGACGGCUCUAUGAGUUGUAAACCGCUUUUGUACGAGGGAAAACGCAGAUACCCGUAUCUUUCUGAAAGUAUCGUACGACUAAGGAUCGGCUAACUCCGUGCCAGCAGCCGCGGUAAUACGGAGGCUUCAAGCGUUAUACGGAUGUAUUGUGUUUAAAGGGUGCGUAGGCGGUCGGAUAAGUUAGAGGUGAAAUCCCGAGGCUCAACUUCGGAAUUGCCUCUGAUACUGUUCGGCUAGAGAGUAGUUGCGGUAGGCGGAAUGUAUGGUGUAGCGGUGAAAUGCUUAGAGAUCAUACAGAACACCGAUUGCGAAGGCAGCUUACCAAGCUACUUCUGACGUUGAGGCACGAAAGCGUGGGGAGCAAACAGGAUUAGAUACCCGUGUAGUC
Molecule: ribosomal RNA, 460 nt
Filed under: uncultured bacterium
Lineage: Bacteria
Description: partial 16S ribosomal RNA
Rfam family: Bacterial small subunit ribosomal RNA
Source: RNAcentral